This 253-nucleotide ribosomal RNA is filed under the name uncultured bacterium. RNAcentral's name for it is "partial 16S ribosomal RNA". It matches the Rfam family "Bacterial small subunit ribosomal RNA", at positions 524 to 776 of the family's 1533-position model. The record is from RNAcentral.
UACGUAGGGAGCAAGCGUUGUCCGGAAUCAUUGGGCGUAAAGCGCGCGUAGGUGGCUUCAUAAGUCCGUUGUGAAAGUCAAAGGCUCAACCUUUGAAAGCCGAUGGAUACUGUGGAGCUAGAGUACGGAAGAGGCGAGUGGAAUUCCUGGUGUAGCGGUGGAAUGCGCAGAUAUCAGGAGGAACACCAAUAGCGAAGGCAGCUCGCUGGGACGUUACUGACACUGAGGCGCGAAAGCGUGGGGAGCGAACCGG